GCGCCUGUAGCUCAGUCGGAUAGAGCGAGCGGCUUCGAACCGCUAGGUCGCAGGUUCGAUCCCUGUCAGGCGCA
Molecule: transfer RNA, 74 nt
Filed under: Omnitrophica bacterium RIFCSPHIGHO2_02_FULL_46_11
Lineage: Bacteria; Pseudomonadati; Candidatus Omnitrophota
Also listed under: 1 other name
Description: tRNA-Arg
Rfam family: tRNA
About the family: Transfer RNA (tRNA) molecules are approximately 80 nucleotides in length. Their secondary structure includes four short double-helical elements and three loops (D, anti-codon, and T loops).
Source: RNAcentral